RNAcentral lists this transfer RNA (78 nucleotides) under Sphaerodactylus townsendi. RNAcentral describes it as "tRNA-Ala". The record is from RNAcentral. Lineage: Eukaryota; Metazoa; Chordata; Lepidosauria; Squamata; Sphaerodactylidae.
GGGACUGUGGCUCAGUGGUAGAACAUCUGCUUGGCAUGCAAAAAGCCACAGUUUCAACCCCUGGUGGCUGAUUACGCA